AGCUUUAUAGUCAAUUAUGAUAUUAAAUUGCAAAUUUAAAGGAGUAAGUUAUUACUAAGGCUU
RNAcentral lists this transfer RNA (63 nucleotides) under Tomosvaryella palliditarsis. RNAcentral describes it as "tRNA-Cys". Lineage: Eukaryota; Metazoa; Arthropoda; Insecta; Diptera; Pipunculidae. The record is from RNAcentral.